GCCCAGUUCUGAUGGCCGAACACCUUACUGUUUGCACCAUGUCUCAUUGCCACCAUGGUUGCAGCCUCCAAGAUCUGUGCUUGACUAGUCUCCCCAAACUUCUAAAAAAUACUAUUUGUUAUGUGUGGUGGAAAUCAUAUACCUUGUUUCAUAUUCCCUAUUUUACAGUAGUUUUCCUAAGGGUUCUUGUCUGUAUGUUAGAGUUGAGUUGUGUUGGGUUAAACCAUACCAAAUAGUUGUUUUUAUAGGUCAAAAGCCAUUGAAUAUCAUUGGCAAUUUUGUUCAGUUCAAAUCCAGGUUCUUUUUAGUAUAUUUAAGCUUUAAUAAACAAAAUCAAACAAGCAAAAAUUUUCCAGAAAAAAUAAGAUGUUAUUUGGACAAGAUAUAUCACUUUAUUACAUGUGCCCUCUGGCAGAUCUUACUUUUAUGCUAAAUCCAGAAAUUCUACUUCCAUGUAUUAUCUCUAUUAAUGACAUAAUAGCAACCAUAUCAUUGAAUGCCUACUUGUGCCACGCAUUUAUCUGUUUUUGUUUUUUUUUUUGUACAUUAACUACUCUCAACAGGGAUAAAACCACCUAAUUUUUAGGGUUCUGUUUUAUAGAUUGAUAAACUGAGAGGCAACUUACUCUUAUUUAGGGUGAGUUACCUUUUAAGGAAAGAACAGGAAAUCACAUCCAGAUCUGUCAGACUCCAGGCUGUUUUCUAUCUGCUACACUAAACUUUCUUGCAUUACAAGCAGGGCCUUAGCCAAAUAGAACAGAGACCAGGACAGAGUUUGUUCUGACCUAAAAUAACAGCUUAACUCUUUUACAGGGUGAUCAGCCCAAAAUUUGACUUUCAGUUUAAAAAAUACACAGGCCCACAGUACUGUACAUAUUUAUUUUUUAUGCUCUCCACUGAAAGGUUGGUGUUCCUGCUUUAAAACACUAACAUAUGGGGCAGCGUUGUUAGUCUUGGAAAUGUUUUAUAUUGUUAGUGGUAUAAGGAAGUAACUAAUUGCCAUUAAUUUCAGUCGUCUCUCAGAAGUAGACUUUUAUUGUCAUGCCUAUAAUUUCUUGUUUUUGAUAAGUAUUAACUAUGUUAUUCUCUUGACCAAAAGCACUUCUCAUUCAGUGUUUCACUUUGUUGACGUAUAGGAGAGACAGGCUGGAAACCGAGUGGAAAAGAGAAAAGUAAAGAGCCCAGAGACCCUGACCAGCUUUACAGCACGCUCAAGAGCAUCCUCCAGCAGGUGAAGAGCCAUCAAAGCGCUUGGCCCUUCAUGGAACCUGUGAAGAGAACAGAAGCUCCAGGAUAUUAUGAAGUUAUAAGGUUCCCCAUGGGUAAUACCAUUAACAUUUUCUAAGUAUAGAUUUAAAACUCUGGAUGGCGGUGUGGGGGACAAAUGGUUGCUGAGGUUGAUUUGUACUCCUCUGCUUAGGGUAGGAAGUGUAUGACGGGUGGUGGGAUUCCAUGCACCGUGGCGGGUCAGUGAUGGCAGAGAAGUGGGUGGCUGUGUUCAUUAGAGACAUUCUGCAGCUGUCGUUUAGAGCCCACAUGAGCUUAACGACACUAGACGCAGAAAAUCCACGGUAACUGCAGACAGCACUAGAUUUGAAAGCUGGCACUUUAGAUAUAACUUUGCUUAUAUUCUAACUCUUUGGUGCAAAUAGAAAAACAUCAGCUUAUCCUCUUGAUAUGCUUUGCGUCUGUCGUAAAUAGGUAUUCCUUUGAAUAAUUAUUCAGGAUAAUAAUGAAAGAAGUUAGAUUAAAGUACUUGACUGCUGUACUUUCAGAGGGAGAAAUUCUACUUACCACAAUUCUUGAUUUUCCAUGCCCUUGAUGGGUACUGUUAAUGUCACUGUAUAUACUCUUUAUUUUACGCUUUGUCUCAUAUCC
RNAcentral lists this long non-coding RNA (1878 nucleotides) under Homo sapiens (human). RNAcentral describes it as "long non-coding RNA NONHSAT193617.1". The record is from RNAcentral. Lineage: Eukaryota; Metazoa; Chordata; Mammalia; Primates; Hominidae.